This 109-nucleotide transfer RNA is filed under the name Candidatus Woesearchaeota archaeon. RNAcentral's name for it is "tRNA-Ala". It matches the Rfam family "tRNA". From Rfam's summary of the family: Transfer RNA (tRNA) molecules are approximately 80 nucleotides in length. Lineage: Archaea; Nanobdellati; Candidatus Woesearchaeota. The record is from RNAcentral.
GGGCCAGUAGCUCAGUCUGGUACUUUGCGCAGACAAAAGUUUGUGUAAAGCAGAAAAGAGUGCUCGGUUGGCAAUCGGGAGGUCUCGGGUUCAAAUCCCGACUGGUCCA